Molecule: long non-coding RNA, 353 nt
Filed under: Salvia miltiorrhiza (redroot sage)
Lineage: Eukaryota; Viridiplantae; Streptophyta; Magnoliopsida; Lamiales; Lamiaceae
Description: long non-coding RNA (SMIL_LNC003540)
Source: RNAcentral
GGAAAGUGUGUAUUUAGGGUCAAGAAAGCGGGGAAGGGGGAGGUCAAGAACGUCGCAUAUGAAUUCAUCUACUGCGUGGAAGAUGCGUGGCAUUAAUGGCGAUUUGGGAGUUUGAUUUGGUAGCUUCUUUGUGAGGUGCUCAAAAAUAUUGGUAGAAGAAGAUUUUGCGGUGAUGAUAUUAAUAGGCGUAUUUGAUGAGUUGAUCUCAUUGAUCUUCCUAAAUGAAGGACCAUUUCUUGGAAUGAAAGAGGAAUGCAAUCCUAAAGUUGUCAUCUUAAUCUGGAAAGAGAAUUAAUGCCGAUGGAGAUGAUGAGUUCUAAAUUUUAUGAAGCAGUGCGGCCUCUAUAUUAAAC